Molecule: ribosomal RNA, 1565 nt
Filed under: Enterococcus durans
Lineage: Bacteria; Bacillati; Bacillota; Bacilli; Lactobacillales; Enterococcaceae
Description: bacterial SSU rRNA
Rfam family: Bacterial small subunit ribosomal RNA
Source: RNAcentral
UAUGAGAGUUUGAUCCUGGCUCAGGACGAACGCUGGCGGCGUGCCUAAUACAUGCAAGUCGUACGCUUCUUUUUCCACCGGAGCUUGCUCCACCGGAAAAAGAAGAGUGGCGAACGGGUGAGUAACACGUGGGUAACCUGCCCAUCAGAAGGGGAUAACACUUGGAAACAGGUGCUAAUACCGUAUAACAAUCGAAACCGCAUGGUUUUGAUUUGAAAGGCGCUUUCGGGUGUCGCUGAUGGAUGGACCCGCGGUGCAUUAGCUAGUUGGUGAGGUAACGGCUCACCAAGGCCACGAUGCAUAGCCGACCUGAGAGGGUGAUCGGCCACAUUGGGACUGAGACACGGCCCAAACUCCUACGGGAGGCAGCAGUAGGGAAUCUUCGGCAAUGGACGAAAGUCUGACCGAGCAACGCCGCGUGAGUGAAGAAGGUUUUCGGAUCGUAAAACUCUGUUGUUAGAGAAGAANAAGGAUGAGAGUAACUGUUCAUCCCUUGACGGUAUCUAACCAGAAAGCCACGGCUAACUACGUGCCAGCAGCCGCGGUAAUACGUAGGUGGCAAGCGUUGUCCGGAUUUAUUGGGCGUAAAGCGAGCGCAGGCGGUUUCUUAAGUCUGAUGUGAAAGCCCCCGGCUCAACCGGGGAGGGUCAUUGGAAACUGGGAGACUUGAGUGCAGAAGAGGAGAGUGGAAUUCCAUGUGUAGCGGUGAAAUGCGUAGAUAUAUGGAGGAACACCAGUGGCGAAGGCGGCUCUCUGGUCUGUAACUGACGCUGAGGCUCGAAAGCGUGGGGAGCAAACAGGAUUAGAUACCCUGGUAGUCCACGCCGUAAACGAUGAGUGCUAAGUGUUGGAGGGUUUCCGCCCUUCAGUGCUGCAGCUAACGCAUUAAGCACUCCGCCUGGGGAGUACGACCGCAAGGUUGAAACUCAAAGGAAUUGACGGGGGCCCGCACAAGCGGUGGAGCAUGUGGUUUAAUUCGAAGCAACGCGAAGAACCUUACCAGGUCUUGACAUCCUUUGACCACUCUAGAGAUAGAGCUUCCCCUUCGGGGGCAAAGUGACAGGUGGUGCAUGGUUGUCGUCAGCUCGUGUCGUGAGAUGUUGGGUUAAGUCCCGCAACGAGCGCAACCCUUAUUGUUAGUUGCCAUCAUUUAGUUGGGCACUCUAGCAAGACUGCCGGUGACAAACCGGAGGAAGGUGGGGAUGACGUCAAAUCAUCAUGCCCCUUAUGACCUGGGCUACACACGUGCUACAAUGGGAAGUACAACGAGUCGCGAAGUCGCGAGGCUAAGCUAAUCUCUUAAAGCUUCUCUCAGUUCGGAUUGUAGGCUGCAACUCGCCUACAUGAAGCCGGAAUCGCUAGUAAUCGCGGAUCAGCACGCCGCGGUGAAUACGUUCCCGGGCCUUGUACACACCGCCCGUCACACCACGAGAGUUUGUAACACCCGAAGUCGGUGAGGUAACCUUUUGGAGCCAGCCGCCUAAGGUGGGAUAGAUGAUUGGGGUGAAGUCGUAACAAGGUAGCCGUAUCGGAAGGUGCGGCUGGAUCACCUCCUUUCUAAGGAA